RNAcentral lists this non-coding RNA (73 nucleotides) under uncultured Pseudodesulfovibrio sp. RNAcentral describes it as "Cyclic di-GMP-I riboswitch". It matches the Rfam family "c-di-GMP-I-GGC riboswitch aptamer". Lineage: Bacteria; Pseudomonadati; Thermodesulfobacteriota; Desulfovibrionia; Desulfovibrionales; Desulfovibrionaceae. The record is from RNAcentral.
ACGAGAAAGCCAAACCUGCCGCGAGGCUGGGACGGAAAGCCACGGGUCUCAUGUGAGACAGCCGGGUUGCCAA